Molecule: ribosomal RNA, 1033 nt
Filed under: Akanthomyces dipterigenus
Lineage: Eukaryota; Fungi; Ascomycota; Sordariomycetes; Hypocreales; Cordycipitaceae
Description: SSU rRNA
Rfam family: Eukaryotic small subunit ribosomal RNA
Source: RNAcentral
GCAGUCUAGUAUAAGCAUUAUACAGCGAAACUGCGAAUGGCUCAUUAUAUAAGUUAUCGUUUAUUUGAUAGUACCUUACUACUUGGAUAACCGUGGUAAUUCUAGAGCUAAUACAUGCUAAAAAUCCCGACUCCGGAAGGGAUGUAUUUAUUAGAUUAAAAACCAAUGCCCUCUGGGCUCCUUGGUGAUUCAUAAUAACUUUUCGAAUCGCAUGGCCUUGCGCCGGCGAUGGUUCAUUCAAAUUUCUUCCCUAUCAACUUUCGAUGUUUGGGUAUUGGCCAAACAUGGUCGCAACGGGUAACGGAGGGUUAGGGCUCGACCCCGGAGAAGGAGCCUGAGAAACGGCUACUACAUCCAAGGAAGGCAGCAGGCGCGCAAAUUACCCAAUCCCGAUUCGGGGAGGUAGUGACAAUAAAUACUGAUACAGGGCUCUUUUGGGUCUUGUAAUUGGAAUGAGUACAAUUUAAAUCCCUUAACGAGGAACAAUUGGAGGGCAAGUCUGGUGCCAGCAGCCGCGGUAAUUCCAGCUCCAAUAGCGUAUAUUAAAGUUGUUGUGGUUAAAAAGCUCGUAGUUGAACCUUGGGCCUGGCUGGCCGGUCCGCCUCACCGCGUGCACUGGUCCGGCCGGGCCUUUCCCUCUGUGGAACCCCAUGCCCUUCACUGGGUGUGGCGGGGAAACAGGACUUUUACUUUGAAAAAAUUAGAGUGCUCCAGGCAGGCCUAUGCUCGAAUACAUUAGCAUGGAAUAAUGAAAUAGGACGUGUGGUUCUAUUUUGUUGGUUUCUAGGACCGCCGUAAUGAUUAAUAGGGACAGUCGGGGGCAUCAGUAUUCAAUUGUCAGAGGUGAAAUUCUUGGAUUUAUUGAAGACUAACUACUGCGAAAGCAUUUGCCAAGGAUGUUUUCAUUAAUCAGGAACGAAAGUUAGGGGAUCGAAGACGAUCAGAUACCGUCGUAGUCUUAACCAUAAACUAUGCCGACUAGGGAUCGGACGAUGUUAUUUUUUGACGCGUUCGGCACCUUACGAGAAAUCAA